Molecule: long non-coding RNA, 2727 nt
Filed under: Capra hircus (goat)
Lineage: Eukaryota; Metazoa; Chordata; Mammalia; Artiodactyla; Bovidae
Description: lncRNA (ENSCHIG00010032072.1)
Source: RNAcentral
AGAGGGAGAGGGGGUUGUGAGUGACAAUUUAACUGUAUGUGUGACAAAGGGUAGCAGACCAGUAAAUUGUUGAGGGGAAGGGUGAGUGUAGUGCAACUGAGUGAUAAACCUGGGGAGGGAAGAGGGACAGUGCAGAAGAGUGUGUGUUGCGGGGACGGGGGGGGUUGUAAUAGGUGGUGUCUGAGUGUUUGGUUUGGAGAAGAGGAAGAGUGAAUAUGUGGGUUUGUGUGUGUGAAAAAGGAGGGAGAGUGGAUGCGUGUGUGUUCGCUUCACAUGGGAGAGGCAAGGGCAGUGUGUCACAAACGUGGGGAGGGGAUGGUGUGUGCUUGUGUGUGUCUCUGCAACGAAACUGUGAUGGAGAAUAGGACCGGUGCAGUAAAGUGUACGUACGUAAAAGACAUGGCGAUUAGAAGAGUGAAACUGACUGCGAAGUUGAGUGAGGUUGAAUAAAUAUUCACAAAUGUUAUCACUGUCGCCGACUUCCUCAGGUUUUCUUGUAGCUCAAAUCUUGACUGGUUUUCUUCCCCUUAAUUUUUCGGGUACUGUCACUACAUUUUAAAACAAUCAUACCAUCCUCUCCUUGCCUAGCUUUACAGCGGGAGGGUAGAAAUUUAGGGAGGCUGACGGGUAUUUUCAGAGCGUUCGGGAGGGUGUGCGCCUGCGUCAAAGAGUUGUUACUUUGAUGCGGUAGCUUUUUUUUUCUUCUGAGGGGGGAUUCGCCUUUGGAAGUGCAAGUCUCUCUGUAGGGGAGACCGUGUGUUUGUCCCGUGGCGAUGAGUAAAUUUCAAUACAAAAGGAUUAGAUAAAAGGGGGGAGGGUAAGAGUAUUGUUUUUUUUUUUCCUGAGGGGUGAGAAAUUGAGCGUUUUAUAGAAUGUAGGAGUUUUCGUAGGAUAUCCCACCGCCUCUUUCUGAGAAAAUAAAAAUCGGGAUUUUGAUUGAAAUCUGGGGAUUUUAUUUAUCUGAGAAGAGAAACAAGCUUUUAACAUAUCUUGGACCACGUGCAUUGGAAGCUUCUGUGUCUAGUGGGGUUUGGGCCAGAUAUUUGUUAAAUGUAUGCAUGUGAACAGUUCAAAUUUUGUGGAUUUUAGAACUUGCUUGCCAUUUGUGUUAGUAGUUGCCUACAGAAAUGUAAUUACAAUUUCACUGCCACCACAAUGAAACAUCUUAAACUACAGAAAGCACCACACCAGUGUAACAAAAAGUCCACAGCCUUUGGAGCCCUGUUGAAUAUCCAUAUGUUUUUAAAAAGUAAUUCACAUAUUUAAGCAAUUACAAAUGCUCCCAGAAAUCUAUUUUUAAGUCAGAAUUGAUUUUUAAAAAUGUUACUAGCUGAGAGAGGUGUUUUGUUUUGACAGAGGAAACCUUUUCAUUUUAUUGUUGUUUUGAACCUUCCUCAAGUACAUCACAGCUUCUGGGGAUGUAAAAAAAAAAAAUCCUCCCGGGGUUUACUGAAGUCCAAAGUCAGGUUGUAGCAUUGUGUAAGUUUCACUGAACAGAGUUGAGGCUGAUGUUUGUGGUGUGAGAGUGUUUCUGACCCCUUUAUAACAGUGUUGAGAUAUUGACUGUACAUCAUAUCUAUUGAUUAAGGGGAUAAGGUACAUUCUCAUACUUCGAAGUAAGUGUGAAGUAAAUUAAUGAACUGCUUUCUUUCUCUGAAGGCUGACGCUUACCAUAAAUGUCGUGUUUCUCCCUGCAAGCCACUCUGAAUGAUUUUAGCGUGUUGAGAAGGCGUGACAGGCCAGCCCAGAAGGAGGAAGGGGUGGGGGAAAGGAGGGAACUCCGUUUAACAAAUAAAAGAGAAUUAACUUCAUUGCUUUGGUCUCCUUCUAUAAUGAUAUUCAUUUUAAAGACCUAAUAUACAGUUGUUCAAAUUUGGGAUUUAAUUCUAAUCAAUACCGUCACCCUCAAAGGUGGAGAAAGAAAGCUUUAGGGAAGACUCCCUUCUAUGAAUAGUUAUUUAUUUUAUCUUUUUAUCCUCCUAUCUCUAGUAGGAAGUGAGGCAAGACUUUUGAAAAGUUAAAAGCUGAUUCUGAGAGUAAACAAACAUUAACCAUUGUUUCCUCAAAAAAUGCAGGAAUUAGAAAAACACGCAUCAUGUGAUUACAAAUUUGAGUAUCUACUUUUAAGAUUGUAUUUAUAUAAAUUCACUUUAGAAUCAUGUAAUUCUGCCUAGGACAAUGGGUCACAAUGUUGGUAUGGAUAUAAUGAGUAUACUGGACUCUUCAGUUUGCAUAAGGUUGACUUGCAGAUUUUCAAAGGUUUGUAUGUGCAUCUUCAUUAUGAAAAAAUAUGUUUUCAUAUAUAUAUGUAUAGUCCCUUUACUCCCACUUUAAAAUCAGGUGUUUAUUUUAUACUAGUAUUGUCAAAGUUUCUUUUUCACCCUACCCCUCACCCCAAAAUAAGUGGUUAGUGUUUGUCCUAAGGCAUAAGACAGAAGAAUUAAAAAGGAAAGGCAAAGAGAAUUAUAUAAUUGACCAAAAAUCGAAACAACAAUAAUCUUGAAACAGUGACCAGCAACCAACCAGACCAACAAUGAAACUGGUCUUAAUGGCAGCUCUUUCUCCGCUUUGCAGAAGUGACUAUUAUUUUUGAAUCCCCCCACAGGAGGAAACAUCUGUAAUCCAUUGUAGGUACAGUCUGUCAGGGAAAGCAUUUCAUAGCACAUCCAGUUCAGUUUACCUUUUGUGAUACUGAUGACUGCUCUUGAGUAUUAAACUGUAAUAAUA